AGUUUGGGGUUCAAUGAUCAGAAUUGUUUAUAAAACCUCAUAUGAUGCACACACAUAUCCCAUUUUUAACGAACUUGAGAUUCUUCCAUUUAACAACAUUUAUUUGUUUCAUUUAGGCUUGUUUAUGUAUCAGUUCCAUAAUUGUAUGUUACCGUCUAAUUUUGAUGAGUAUUUCACAUGUGUUAACCAAGUUCACAAUUAUAAUACGCGACAAUCGAAUUUGUAUUUCCUCCCAUUUUGUAGAACUAACCUGAGAAAAUUUGCUAUUAUUUACCAAGGUCCUAAAUUUUUUAACUCCCUCCCCAAAAAUAUAUAUGAUGCUUCAUCCGUCUCCGGUUUUCGGAAAAAACUUAAAGAAUAUUUAUUUAGACUUUAAUUUUGUAUUAUUUAAACACACAAUCAAUGUAACAUAGUUUCUAUCUAUGCUUUGUCAAAAACCUGAUCCCAAUUUUUUGGUCUAUUUUUCCUUUUCAUCCAAAUUUUGUUUGUUCGUUUACACAUUGUAUCUUGCUCGAUAUGUUUUUACAGCUAACACUAAAAUUUUGCUAUAUAUGUAUUACUGUAGUUUAAUCUAGGUGGCCCAAAUUACAUAAACCCUUAUGGUUUCUUUUGAGUUUCCUUGCCUUACAAAAUGUAAUUUUUUUUUCUCUUUGAUAUUGUGAACAUUUUUUUUUUAUUGGCUAAAAUAAAUUGAGUUGACUUGACUUACUCGGGAUUCAAUGAAGUGUGAAGUAUUUUGAGCAAUUGAAAUACGUUUUAGUAUUCCAAAGGUCGUAGGUUCGAUUCCCACCGUGGCCAGGCAUAUUUUUCAAGCUUGCCCGGUGUGGAUAUAUAUACACUCAGAGUAACAUCACAAACAUCAAAAGUUAGACAACUUUAAAUAUCGUUUAAACGAAAUUAGGAACGCGCUAGAAGUUAUGUAGUGAAGAAGACGAUUAAUAGCAUUGAACAACAUUUGUUGUUUGUCUAAAACAUGGAAUUUUAUACAAUUUGUACCAAGCAAUUUUGUUAGAUCAUGAAGUGCGACUUAUUUCAAUUGCUCAAAAUACUUCACACUUCAUUAAGGCCUUGUUUACACUAUACCGGAUCCGCUGGUCACGACAUCUUCUUUUGCCGUUACGGAGCAAUGGUUAGUAGCAAAUGCUUAUUAGUUUGACAGAAUUGGCAUGUUUAUUUGGGUCUCUGAGAUUAAAAAACUUCACAGCCUUUCGAUACCUACAAAAUUUGACCCACUCCGAUAGCAAUCCGGUAUAGUGUAAACGGGGCCUAAAUCCCGGGUAAGCGGGACCAUAUAAACAGCCCCUUAGUUCGUGAGUUAUGAAUGUUCUGAGUACAUGUGUCAGUAAUCCAAUUUUGGCAUGUUAUUAUUAUUUAGGUAAGGCCUGUUUCAAACGUCGCGCUUCUCAUGUGCCGAACGCAUUAGAAACGGUAAUAAUGAGGCAUUUUAGCUGAUUAUCUAUUGUUUUUAAAGGACAUUGGCAAUAAAAAAUUAGUUUAGUUCAUUUGAAAGAACUCUUAAAACUAUAUAUUAAACUCUAUUACAGAUUGUUUAUAUCUUGCUUAGUUUUCAAAAUAUCUCGACUGAAAAAAGUGAGCUGUUCGCCAUCUUGGAUUAUUGAGGAUACCAGGUGAUCUCGUGUUCGUAUUUUAGCCAAUCAGCACUCAGAAAGGGUUGUCCGAAUAGAAAUCCAUUUUGAUGUAAUCAGUCAAUUAUAUCUUUCGUUAUUGUUUACGAAACUAGUUGAAAUUUUGUAAUUAUGUUUGCUUAUGAGAACUAUAGCUCUGACAAAAAUAUGGAAUCGAAAUAAAGUAUAUUACAGGAGAUAUUCAGUUGUUUUAAUCAUAAAAUGGAUUUCUAUUUGACAACUAGUGCCAGUACUUUUCCGCGUAUCAAGAUCACCUGGAUUAUUAGACCUAACCAGGAACAGCUGCGAAAAAUGCAACUUUAUGUCCCUGGUAGGAAUCGAACCUGCGGCCCUGCGAUUCCGGUGCAGCGCUCCAACCAACUGAGCUACAGAGGCCAGUUGUCGAGCUCUAACCACAAGUUCAUGUAUAUACAGGGUGUCUCAAAAAAACCCAAAAUCAUUGAAAUUGACGUAUUGUUCGAUAUUCAAUGCCCUAGCACUAAGUUAAUCCCACGAGUGCAUAAAAGAUUGACAUAACUGCUAUAAUGAAUGGUAAUACUCAGCGUAAACUUGUUAUGUCAGGCAUAAAGUACUAAACCCACGAAUGCAUAUUACGCAUAUUACAAUUUACGAAGCAUUUUUAAAUUCCCAUGAGCAAACAAACGUUCACUUUACAAAGAUAUUUUAUUUUUUUAAAACAAAUUAAUCACCCUGUCAAAAUCCUUUGUGUUACGGCAUUGAAAUUCGAACAAUACGUUAUUUCAAUGAUUUGGGGUUUUUUUGAGACACCCUGUACAGGGUGUAUAAAAAAAAGCGCAACCUCGGAAUUUCCCAAGAAAUCGACAUUGUUAUAAAGACAAAAGACUUUAGGCGCCUGGGAAUUUAAAAUAGCAUAACUGUCAAACUUAC
This is a non-coding RNA of Paramuricea clavata, 2534 nucleotides long. Lineage: Eukaryota; Metazoa; Cnidaria; Anthozoa; Malacalcyonacea; Plexauridae. The record is from the annotation of a GenBank genome assembly.